This 127-nucleotide small RNA is filed under the name Marmota monax (woodchuck). The record is from RNAcentral. Lineage: Eukaryota; Metazoa; Chordata; Mammalia; Rodentia; Sciuridae.
GCCAGGCAUGGUGGCACAUGCCUGUAAUCCCAGCAGCUCAGGAGGCUGAGGCAGAAGGAUCACAAGUUUAAAGCCAUCCUCAGCAACUUAGUGAGGCACUUAGCAACUCAGUGAGACCCUGUCUCUA